This 30-nucleotide non-coding RNA is filed under the name Rattus norvegicus (Norway rat). Lineage: Eukaryota; Metazoa; Chordata; Mammalia; Rodentia; Muridae. The record is from RNAcentral.
GAAGAUCACAUAAGCUUCUCAACUCCCAGA